CCUACGGGAGGUACCAGUAGGGAAUUUUUCGGUGGGCGCAGGACCUGACCGAGCGACCGCGUGAGUGAUUAAGGCCUUCGGGGUUGUUAAAGUUUCUGUUGGUAAGGGAAGAAAAAAUCAGUAGAGGGAAAUGAUACUGAUUCUGACGGUACCUUACCAGAAAAAGCCACGGCUUAACUACGUGCCAGCAGCCGCGGUAAUACGUAGGUGGCAAGCGUUAUCCGGAAUUAUUGGGCGUAAAGGGUGCGUAGGCGGUUUAUUAAGUCUAUGGUGAAAGUGCGGGGCCUCAACCCCGUAUGGGCCAUAGAAACUGAUAGACUAGAGUGCAGGAGAGGGCAAUGGAAUUCCAUGUGUAGCGGUAAAAUGCGUAGAUAUAUGGAGGAACACCAGUGGCGAAGGCGGUUGCCUGGCCUGUAACUGACGCUGAAGCACGAAAGCGUGGGGAGCAAAUAGGAUUAGAUACCCUAGUAGUCCACGCCGUAAACGAUGAAUACUAAGUGUUGGAGAAAUUCAGUGCUGCAGUUAACGCAAUAAGUAUUUCCGCCUGGGGGAGUAUGCACGCAAGUGUGAAACUCAAAGGAAUUGACGGGACCCCGCACAAGCGGUGGAUUAUGUUGUUUAAUUCGACGCAACGCGAAGAACCUUACCAGGCCUUGACAUACUCAGGCCAAAACCCUAGAGAUAGGGUGGAGGUUAUCUGGGAUACAGGUGGGUGCAUGGGUUGUCCGUCAGCUCGUGUCGUGAGAUGGUUGGGUUAAGUCCCGCAACGAGCGCAACCCUUGUCUUUAGUUACCAUCAUUCAGUUGGGGACUCUAGAGAAAAGACUGCCGGGUGGGUAAACCGGAGGAAGGUGGGGAUGACGUCAAAAAUCAUCAUGCCCCCUUAUGGCCUGGGGGCUACAAACGUAAAAUUAACAAUGGCGUAUACAAAGGGAUGGGAAAGGGUGACCUGGAGCAAAACUCACAAAGUACGUCUCAGUUCAGUCUGGACUCUGCGCCUCGACUCCAUGAAGGGGGAAUCUCUAGUAAUCGCGGAUCAGCAUG
This 1043-nucleotide ribosomal RNA is filed under the name uncultured Mollicutes bacterium. RNAcentral's name for it is "bacterial SSU rRNA". It matches the Rfam family "Bacterial small subunit ribosomal RNA", at positions 338 to 1356 of the family's 1533-position model. The record is from RNAcentral. Lineage: Bacteria; Bacillati; Mycoplasmatota; Mollicutes.